Molecule: ribosomal RNA, 390 nt
Filed under: uncultured bacterium
Lineage: Bacteria
Description: bacterial SSU rRNA
Rfam family: Bacterial small subunit ribosomal RNA
Source: RNAcentral
AUUGAACGCUGGCGGCAUGCCUUACACAUGCAAGUCGAACGGUAACGCGGGGCAACCUGGCGACGAGUGGCGAACGGGUGAGUAAAGUAUCGGAACGUGCCCAAUAGUGGGGGAUAGCCCGGCGAAAGCCGGAUUAAUACCGCAUGAGACCUGAGGGUGAAAGCGGGGGACUCGCAAGAGCCUCGCGCUGUUGGAGCGGCCGAUAUCAGAUUAGGUAGUUGGUGGGGUAAAGGCCUACCAAGCCGACGAUCUGUAGCUGGUCUGAGGGGACGACCAGCCACACUGGGACUGAGACACGGCCCAGACUCCUACGGGAGGCAGCAGUGGGGAAUUUUGGACAAUGGGCGCAAGCCUGAUCCAGCCAUGCCGCGUGCGGGAAGAAGGCCUCGG